GCCCAGACUCCUACGGGAGGCAGCAGUGGGGGAUAUUGCACAAUGGGGGGAACCCUGAUGCAGCGACGCCGCGUGGGUGAAGGAGCGUUUCGGCGCGUAAAGCCCUAUCGGCAGGGAAGAAGGAGGACGGUACCUGACUAAGAAGCCCCGACUAACUACGUGCCAGCAGCCGCGGGAAUACGUAGGGGGCAAGCGUUAUCCGGAUUUACUGGGUGUAAAGGGAGCGUAGACGGCAGUGCAAGUCUGGAGUGAAAGGCGGGGGCUCAACCCCCGGACUGCUCUGGAAACUGUACGGCUGGAGUGCAGGAGAGGUAAGUGGAAUUCCUAGUGUAGCGGUGAAAUGCGUAGAUAUUAGGAGGAACACCAGUGGCGAAGGCGGCUCUCUGGACUGUAACUGACACUGAGGCACGAAAGCGUGGGGAGCAAACAGGAUUAGAUACCCUAGUA
Molecule: ribosomal RNA, 447 nt
Filed under: uncultured bacterium
Lineage: Bacteria
Description: partial 16S ribosomal RNA
Rfam family: Bacterial small subunit ribosomal RNA
Source: RNAcentral